AAUAUUGGUCAAUGGACGCAAGUCUGAACCAGCCACGCCGCGUGAGUGAUGAAGGCCUUCGGGUUGUAAAGCUCUGUGGGGAGGGAAGAAAACGAUCGGUUCGAACAGGGCCGAUCCUUGACGGUACCUCCUUAGCAAGCACCGGCUAACUCUGUGCCAGCAGCCGCGGUAAUACAGAGGGUGCGAACGUUGCUCGGAAUUACUGGGCGUAAAGCGCGUGUAGGCGGAGCCGCAAGUCAGAUGUGAAAUCCCCGGGCUCAACCCGGGAACUGCAUCUGAAACUGCGGUUCUCGAGUGUCGGAGAGGGCGGCGGAAUUCCUGGUGUAGAGGUGAAAUUCGUAGAUAUCAGGAGGAACACCGGUGGCGAAGGCGGCCGCCUGGACGACUACUGACGCUGAGACGCGAAAGCGUGGGGAGCAAAC
This 422-nucleotide ribosomal RNA is filed under the name uncultured bacterium. RNAcentral's name for it is "bacterial SSU rRNA". It matches the Rfam family "Bacterial small subunit ribosomal RNA", at positions 360 to 773 of the family's 1533-position model. The record is from RNAcentral.